UCGGGAAUUUUGGGCAAUGGGGGCAACCCUGACCCAGCCACGCCGCGUGAGGGAUGAAGGCCUUCGGGUCGUAAACCUCUGUCGGGAGGGAAGAAAGGCGCCCGGGCGAACAGUCCGGGUACUUGACGGUACCUCCAAAGGAAGCACCGGCUAACUCCGUGCCAGCAGCCGCGGUAAUACGGAGGGUGCAAGCGUUGUUCGGAAUUACUGGGCGUAAAGCGCGUGUAGGCGGCUUGGUAAGUCGGGUGUGAAAGCCCGGGGCUCAACCCCGGAAAUGCACCCGAAACUGCCUCGCUCGAGUCCCGGAGAGGGUGGCGGAAUUUCCGGUGUAGAGGUGAAAUUCGUAGAUAUCGGAAGGAACACCAGUGGCGAAGGCGGCCACCUGGACGGUGACUGACGCUGAGACGCGAAAGCGUGGGGAGCAAACAGGAUUAGAUACCCCUGUAGUCC
Molecule: ribosomal RNA, 450 nt
Filed under: uncultured prokaryote
Description: bacterial SSU rRNA
Rfam family: Bacterial small subunit ribosomal RNA
Source: RNAcentral